Molecule: ribosomal RNA, 254 nt
Filed under: uncultured bacterium
Lineage: Bacteria
Description: partial 16S ribosomal RNA
Rfam family: Bacterial small subunit ribosomal RNA
Source: RNAcentral
CACGUAGGGUGCGAGCGUUGUCCGGAAUUAUUGGGCGUAAAGAGCUCGUAGGCGGUGUGUCGCGUCGGCCGUGAAAACCUGCAGCUUAACUGUGGGCUUGCGGUCGAUACGGGCAUCACUGGAGUUCGGCAGGGGCGAGCGGAACAAGUGGUGGAGCGGUGAAAUGCGUAGAUAUCACUUGGAACGCCAAUGGUGAAGACAGCUCGCUGGGGGUGUCCUGACGCUGAGGCGCGAAAGCCAGGGGAGCGAACGGG